This 255-nucleotide ribosomal RNA is filed under the name uncultured bacterium. RNAcentral's name for it is "partial 16S ribosomal RNA". It matches the Rfam family "Bacterial small subunit ribosomal RNA", at positions 99 to 354 of the family's 1533-position model. The record is from RNAcentral.
CGGACAGGUGAGUAACGCGUGGAAAACCUGCCGUAUACUGGGGGAUAACACUUAGAAAUAGGUGCUAAUACCGCAUAAGCGCACAGCUUCGCAUGAAGCGGUGUGAAAAACUCUGGUGGUAUACGAUGGUUCCGCGUCUGAUUAGCUAGUCGGUGGGGUAAUGGCCUACCAAGGCAACGAUCAGUAGCCGGCCUGAGAGGGUGAACGGCCACAUUGGGACUGAGACACGGCCCAAACUCCUACGGGAGGCAGCAG